Molecule: ribosomal RNA, 497 nt
Filed under: uncultured bacterium
Lineage: Bacteria
Description: partial 16S ribosomal RNA
Rfam family: Bacterial small subunit ribosomal RNA
Source: RNAcentral
GAUGAACGCUGGCGGCGUGCCUAAUACAUGCAAGUCGAGCGAACGGACGAGAAGCUUGCUUCUCUGAUGUUAGCGGCGGACGGGUGAGUAACACGUGUAUAACCUACUUAUAAGACUGGGAUAACUUCGGGAAACCGGAGCUAAUCCCGGAUGAUCUUUUGAACCGCAUGGUUCAAAAGUGAAAGACGGUCUUGCUGUCACUUAUAGAUGGAUCCGCGCUGCAUUAGCUAGUUGGUAAGUUAACGGCUUACCAAGGCAACGAUGCAUAGCCGACCUGAGAGGGUGAUAGGCCACACUGGAGCGGAGACACGGACCAGGCGCCUACGGGAGGCAGCAGUAGGGAACGUUCCGCAGAGGGCGAAAGCAUGACGGAGCAAGGCCGCGUGAGUGAUGAAGGUCUUCGGAUCGUAAAACUCUGUUAUUAGGGAAGAACAUAUGUGUAAGUAACUGUGCACAGCUUGACGGUACCUAGUCAGAAAGCCACGGCUAACUACGUG